This is a long non-coding RNA of Populus nigra (black poplar), 820 nucleotides long. RefSeq lists it as uncharacterized. The transcript has 2 exons. NCBI's taxonomy places the organism in Eukaryota, Viridiplantae, Streptophyta, Magnoliopsida, Malpighiales, Salicaceae. The record is from RefSeq and is a predicted model, not a curated record.
UGCAGGUUUAACCUUCAUGCAUGUUUCUAUUCAGUCGAUGUCGAUAAGGGCCGCGACGCCUUUGUUGCAUUUUGAUGAUCUUUGAAAUAAGAGUUUGAAAGCAAGAGGAAUUGGAAACUGCGAAGGAGUGAUAAAUUUCUCUAAUGCAACUAGAAAGGUCAACCUGGGACCUGGGGCAGGGUUUAAGAAAAAUUAGAGGAAGUUACAACUCGGGGUGAUCUGGUGACUCGGUUAAACCCGGUAAAAAAUUUAGUUGUAAUUUGUUGUUUAUUUAUUUUUAUUUUUUACUAAAAUGAUGUCGUUUUGAUUUAUAUAAAAAAAUAAAUUUUAAUUUAUAUAAAAAAUAGAAUUGACCUGAGUGACUUAGUUAAAAUAUGAUAAUCUAAAAAAACUUGUGAUCCAGAUCUUGAGUUAGGUUGAUUAGCACAUUGGGUUUCAAAACUAAGACUGGGUUUCAAAACUAAGACUGAAUGAGGAAGAAAGUAUGCCGGCCAUUGUAAAACGACAACGUGGAGACAAUCUAUAACUUGUUGCCGACAGACAGGCUAUGCAAAGCCACUGGGGCAAGCUUUAUCCACCAUUGCGUUGAGCCAACGUGAUUUGAGCUGUUUUACUUUUUUUACUUUACACCCUUUUGCUUUGCAAUGCAAUUCUUCAAUGAAAAGAGAAAAUACCAAACUCUCAAAAGCACGCUUCCAUGGUAUCUCACUGUUUCCUAUUUUUGUCUUCGAGUACGGUUCCCUAGCAAUCUGUUUCAUUUGUAGUUCUUUCAUUGCGGUUGAACUAUAGUUUAUUAUUUUUAUAAAUUAAUUUAUUUUUG